Molecule: long non-coding RNA, 2214 nt
Organism: Scleropages formosus (Asian bonytongue)
Lineage: Eukaryota; Metazoa; Chordata; Actinopteri; Osteoglossiformes; Osteoglossidae
Source: Ensembl
CGGCUCUCGAAACCGACACUUUCUGUUCAGUUUUUUCGCCCUUCGCUCUCUUAGUCCACAUCCAGACGCCGGGGCCCCCGGAGACAAAGAUGCGCGCGCACGCACACACACACGCACACACACACACACACACACAGGCUCAGUUCUCCUCGAUGCCCCAGAUGAGUAACGUGCGUCGCCUCUCAUGGAACCUAAAUUUACAUGUGUGGUUUGGACGACGACCUCUUCCUGAAAAUGAACAGACUUCCAGUAACGGCUGAAUGUACCGCCGUAUUUACUCAUCGCUACCACGAGAUUAAGAGCUCUAACGCUUUCAUGGAAGGGUUUCUUACUGCCGAACCAUGGAGGAGUUAUGCAACAAACUAAAAAAUCAAAUAAGAGUGUCCUGAUGCUCUUGAAACGGAGUGAGAUGUCUGUUCCUCUUUCAGGAUGGACGCUUUCUGUCAAUGAAGUUCUCUCUCGAUGCCCAUGAGACGAAUGAGGUUCUCUCUGUGAACUGGGGGGGACUCUCGCGGUGCGACACGUCAGGAGCACCCAGCGAAACAUAGCCGGGGUGGCUUUGGACAUGGAAUGUCCUACAGAAACAGGCGGGAACAGGAGAAGAACUUCUGCAGAAUGAUGAUCAUCACACCAGUGGGUGGCUCAUCAUCUUGGGAGAGCAGAGGAGGAAAUGGCAGCGUCACCGACAGCAGCACAAGCACAGGGGACGUUACGGCAGCAAGAGUGCAGCUCUGCGCCGCAACGAGCGGCAGGUCACUGCUUGUCCCUGUGACUUUGGGCCGCGGUCCUGUGAGCAUCAGCGAAGACAUGUGACUCGGCGCCGGUGGCUGCCGUACACGGACAGGCUGUGGCACCUCCUCCACCGUGUUUCCAGAGAAGCUGGUGGCUUUUGGGCCAUGAGCUGCUCCUUAUUCCCUCCACACUUUCCUCUUUCCAUCGCUCUUUCCAUCACUUCCAUCUGUCCAUAAGAAUGUUCCAGAACUCUGCAGGCUUGUUAAAUCUACUUUUAGUAAACUCUGGCUUGGUCUUUCUCCUCUUGAGGCUCUUCAGUGGUUCGGAUCGUGUGAUGAACCCUGAGGUUACGCUCGUGUCCUUCUCUUGAUGGCAGUCUUUAUGACACCUCUGCCUACUGGCUGGACAGGGUUCCCGAUCUGUCCAACGGCUCCAAAGUGGCUCUUCUUCACAACCGAAGCUCUUCUCCAGCCAUCCACCGCAACGCUCUUCCAUGGUCCACCACAUUGUUUGUUCCUGCUGCUGCUGCUGCUGAGCUCACCAGCGUGUUCUUGCUUCUGACCAACGUACCACACACUCCAUUUUGACACUCCUGAUGUCUCGCCGAUGUCCCUGAUGAACAUACCCUGCCUUUCCAGCCCCAUGUUGGCCUCCUUUACUACUAUGGACACUUUUUUUGGUCCUCAUGUUGAGAGGCAGCAGCGACGGACUCGAGAUGCAAAGGCCUCGUCUGGAAUCACCUGCCGACCUUCUCCGGGUUCUCGUGCCUGAAGUGCCGAUGCUGUGCCGCGCAGCCACGCCCGCUGAGCUCCCAAGUGUCCAAUUACCUUCGUCCCCUAAAAUGUGGGAGGUCUGUGUGUAAAAAGACCUGCGGUCCUUCCACGGUUUACCCCCGUUACGAAGCUGACAGUGAGCCCUUUAACCUCAGAGUCAACGUUUCAUCUCCAGUCCAACUUGCAAGAGUGCAGAGACAAAGCAACGAGAAGCGUGUCGUUGUCCAGACAGCGGAGGUCAACACGGACUGGACAUGUGUUUAAGGGUCAACUGUCAGCGGAUACAGUGGGACCACAUGGUGACCUUUUCAAUAUAGGUCAAAGGCACCUUUCCUAAAUGAGUGUCACACCACACACAGCACACAAACAAAAGAAGUUCUGGCCAGAAUAUUUCUCAUUUUUAUCCAUUUAUUUACUUUUUCUUGUAGGCAUAUUUAUGUUACUGGGAUCCAGAGCCUUGUUACAUGAUGAAUGAACCAAACUGAACCUGGAUUCAUGCCCUUCAAACUGUUUUGUUUACUUACAGAACUAAGUACUUAUUUCCCACGAGUGUCAGAACACAAUUUACACUUUAAACAUUCAUCAUAUGAGGAAUAACUGGCACAUCCCUGUUUCAGCAGGAUCUUGCUCUCUUUGCCAAAUCAUUUUUGGCAUGUUUCAACACUGCAAAAUAAUAACAAUAAAAUACAACUCUAGUGAACCUAAAACA